GUAUUAAAGCUUUUUUGACCGAUAAAGGUCUCAAUAUACAUUCUGAUGUACUUUUUAUUGUGUUUAAAAGAUGACAUAGACACACAGACCGUUUUAAAAAUCUGGGCCUACAAUAAGUUCACAGGUGAGGUUGAAAAGGCGGAGUGCACAUUGCCCGAGAGCCAGCAACAUCCUGAGGAUUUCAAUAAUGAUCCUUCCGCAGGUUCACCUACGGAAA
RNAcentral lists this unclassified non-coding RNA (217 nucleotides) under uncultured fungus. Its description in RNAcentral is "sequence contains ITS1". The record is from RNAcentral. Lineage: Eukaryota; Fungi.